RNAcentral lists this ribosomal RNA (325 nucleotides) under uncultured bacterium. Its description in RNAcentral is "bacterial SSU rRNA". It matches the Rfam family "Bacterial small subunit ribosomal RNA", at positions 28 to 334 of the family's 1533-position model. The record is from RNAcentral.
GAUGAACGCUGGCGGCGCGCCUAACACAUGCAAGUCGAACGGAGUUAUUUCAGCAGAAGCUUUCGGGUGGACGCAGGGAUAACUUAGUGGCGAACGGGUGAGUAACACGUGAGGAACCUGCCCCAUACAGGGGGAUAACAGUUAGAAAUGACUGCUAAUACCGCAUAAGACCACAGCACCGCAUGGUGCAGGGGUAAAAACUCCGGUGGUAUGAGAUGGAUCCGCGUCUGAUUAGCUAGUUGGUAAGGUAAUGGCUUACCAAGGCAACGAUCAGUAGCCGACCUGAGAGGGUGACCGGCCACAUUGGGACUGAGACACGGCCCAA